RNAcentral lists this ribosomal RNA (651 nucleotides) under uncultured Actinomycetales bacterium. RNAcentral describes it as "bacterial SSU rRNA". It matches the Rfam family "Bacterial small subunit ribosomal RNA", at positions 88 to 752 of the family's 1533-position model. Lineage: Bacteria; Bacillati; Actinomycetota; Actinomycetes; Actinomycetales. The record is from RNAcentral.
UACUCGAGUGGCGAACGGGUGAGUAACACGUGGGUGAUCUGCCCUGCACUUCGGGAUAAGCUUGGGGAACUGGGUCUAAUACCGGAUAGGAGCCAUCUUUAGUGUGGUGGUUGGAAAGUUUUUUCGGUGUAGGAUGAGCUCGCGGCCUAUCAGCUUGUUGGUGGGGUAAUGGCCUACCAAGGCGGCGACGGGUAGCCGGCCUGAGAGGGUGUACGGCCACAUUGGGACUGAGAUACGGCCCAGACUCCUACAGGAGGCAGCAGUGGGGAAUAUUGCACAAUGGGCGCAAGCCUGAUGCAGCGACGCCGCGUGGGGGAUGAAGGCCUUCGGGUUGUAAACUCCUUUCGCUAGGGACGAAGCUUUGUUGUGACGGUACCUAGAUAAGAAGCACCGGCUAACUACGUGCCAGCAGCCGCGGUAAUACGUAGGGUGCGAGCGUUGUCCGGAAUUACUGGGCGUAAAGGGCUCGUAGGUGGUUUGUCGCGUCGUCUGUGAAAUUCUGGGGCUUAACUCCGGGCGUGCAGGCGAUACGGGCAUAACUUGAGUGCUGUAGGGGUAACUGGAAUUCCUGGUGUAGCGGUGAAAUGCGCAGAUAUCAGGAGGAACACCGAUGGCGAAGGCAGGUUACUGGGCAGUUACUGACGCUGAGGA